Molecule: ribosomal RNA, 697 nt
Filed under: Salmonella enterica subsp. enterica serovar Richmond
Lineage: Bacteria; Pseudomonadati; Pseudomonadota; Gammaproteobacteria; Enterobacterales; Enterobacteriaceae
Description: partial 23S ribosomal RNA
Rfam family: Bacterial large subunit ribosomal RNA
Source: RNAcentral
CCCAGUGUGAUUUGUCACACUAUCAUUACGUGAAUACAUAGCGUAAUGAAGCGAACCGGGGGAACUGAAACAUCUAAGUACCCCGAGGAAAAGAAAUCAACCGAGAUUCCCCCAGUAGCGGCGAGCGAACGGGGAGGAGCCCAGAGCCUGAAUCAGCAUGUGUGUUAGUGGAAGCGUCUGGAAAGGCGCGCGAUACAGGGUGACAGCCCCGUACACAAAAGCGCAUGUGUUGUGAGCUCGAUGAGUAGGGCGGGACACGUGGUAUCCUGUCUGAAUAUGGGGGGACCAUCCUCCAAGGCUAAAUACUCCUGACUGACCGAUAGUGAACCAGUACCGUGAGGGAAAGGCGAAAAGAACCCCGGCGAGGGGAGUGAAAAAGAACCUGAAACCGUGUACGUACAAGCAGUGGGAGCACCCUUUGGGGUGUGACUGCGUACCUUUUGUAUAAUGGGUCAGCGACUUAUAUUCUGUAGCAAGGUUAACCGUAUAGGGGAGCCGGAGGGAAACCGAGUCUUAACCGGGCGUUAAGUUGCAGGGUAUAGACCCGAAACCCGGUGAUCUAGCCAUGGGCAGGUUGAAGGUUGGGUAACACUAACUGGAGGACCGAACCGACUAAUGUUGAAAAAUUAGCGGAUGACCUGUGGCUGGGGGUGAAAGGCCAAUCAAACCGGGAGAUAGCUGGUUCUCCCCGAAAGCU